RNAcentral lists this ribosomal RNA (119 nucleotides) under Pteropus alecto (black flying fox). Lineage: Eukaryota; Metazoa; Chordata; Mammalia; Chiroptera; Pteropodidae. The record is from RNAcentral.
CUCUACGGCCAUGCCACCAUGAACAAGCCUGAUCUCGUCUGAUCGUGGAAGCUAAGCAGGGUUGGGCCUGGUUAGUACUUGGAUGGGAGACCAUGUAGGAAGACCAGGUGCUGUAAGCG